RNAcentral lists this ribosomal RNA (498 nucleotides) under uncultured bacterium. RNAcentral's name for it is "partial 16S ribosomal RNA". It matches the Rfam family "Bacterial small subunit ribosomal RNA", at positions 28 to 507 of the family's 1533-position model. The record is from RNAcentral.
GACGAACGCUGGCGGCGUGCCUAAUACAUGCAAGUCGAACGAGAGCAACCGGUGCUUGCACUGGUCAAUCUAGUGGCGAACGGGUGAGUAACACGUGGGUAACCUGCCCAUCAGAGGGGGAUAACAUCCGGAAACGGAUGCUAAAACCGCAUAGGUCUUCGAACCGCAUGGUUUGAAGAGGAAAAGAGGCGCAAGCUUCUGCUGAUGGAUGGACCCGCGGUGCAUUAGCUAGUUGGUGAGGUAACGGCUCACCAAGGCCGUGAUGCAUAGCCGACCUGAGAGGGUGAUCGGCCACAUUGGGACUGAGACACGGCCCAAACUACUACGGGAGGCAGCAGUAGGGAAUCUUACGCAAUGGACGCAAGUCUGACGGAGCAACGCCGCGUGAGUGAAGAAGGUUUUCGGAUCGUAAAACUCUGUUGUUAGAGAAGAACAAGUGCUAGAGUAACUGUUAGCGACUUGACGGUAUCUAACCAGAAAGCCACGGCUAACUACGUG